This 512-nucleotide ribosomal RNA is filed under the name uncultured bacterium. RNAcentral describes it as "partial 16S ribosomal RNA". It matches the Rfam family "Bacterial small subunit ribosomal RNA", at positions 28 to 507 of the family's 1533-position model. The record is from RNAcentral.
GAUGAACGCUGGCGGCGUGCCUAAUACAUGCAAGUCGAACGAAACUUCUUUAUCACCGAGUGCUUGCACUCACCGAUAAAGAGUUGAGUGGCGAACGGGUGAGUAACACGUGGGCAACCUGCCCAAAAGAGGGGGAUAACACUGGGAAACAGGUGCUAAUACCGCAUAACCAUAGUUACCGCAUGGUAACUAUGUAAAAGGUGGCUAUACUACCGCUUUUGGAUGGGCCCGCGGCGCAUUAGCUAGUUGGUAGGGUAAAGGCUUACCAAGGCAAUGAUGCGUAGCCGAAUUGAGAGGUUGAUCGGCCACAUUGGGACUGAGACACGGCCCAAACUCCUACGGGAGGCAGCAGUAGGGAAUCUUCCACAAUGGGCGAAAGCCUGAUGGAGCAACGCCGCGUGGGUGAAGAAGGUCUUCGGAUCGUAAAACCCUGUUGUUAGAGAAGAAAGUGCGUGAGAGUAACUGUUCACGUUUCGACGGUAUCUAACCAGAAAGCCACGGCUAACUACGUG